CCCAGACUCCUACGGGAGGCAGCAGUGGGGGAUAUUGCACAAUGGGGGGAACCCUGAUGCAGCGACGCCGCGUGGGUGAAGAAGUAUUUCGGUAUGUAAAGCCCUAUCGGCAGGGAAGAAAUUGGACGGUACCUGACUAAGAAGCCCCGGCUAACUACGUGCCAGCAGCCGCGGUAAUACGUAGGGGGCAAGCGUUAUCCGGAUUCACUGGGUGUAAAGGGAGCGUAGACGGCCAUGCAAGCCUGGAGUGAAAGCCCGGGGCCCAACCCCGGGACUGCUCUGGGAACUGUGCGGCUGGAGUGCGGGAGGGGCAGGCGGAAUUCCUGGUGUAGCGGUGAAAUGCGUAGAUAUCAGGAGGAACACCGGCGGCGAAGGCGGCCUGCUGGACCGCGACUGACGUUGAGGCUCGAAAGCGUGGGGAGCAAACAGGAUUAGAUACCCGAGUA
Molecule: ribosomal RNA, 446 nt
Filed under: uncultured bacterium
Lineage: Bacteria
Description: bacterial SSU rRNA
Rfam family: Bacterial small subunit ribosomal RNA
Source: RNAcentral